UACGUAGGGGGCAAGCGUUGUCCGGAAUCAUUGGGCGUAAAGCGCGUGUAGGCGGCCCGGUAAGUCCGCUGUGGAAGUCGGGGGCUCAACCCUCGGAUGCCGGUGGAUACUGUCGGGCUAGAGUGCGGGAGAGGCGAGUGGAAUUCCUGGUGUAGCGGUGAAAUGCGCAGAUAUCAGGAGGAACACCAAUUGCGAAGGCAGCUCGCUGGAACGUAACUGACGCUGAGACGCGAAAGCGUGGGGAGCAAACAGG
Molecule: ribosomal RNA, 253 nt
Filed under: uncultured bacterium
Lineage: Bacteria
Description: partial 16S ribosomal RNA
Rfam family: Bacterial small subunit ribosomal RNA
Source: RNAcentral